UUCCUUUGAGUUUCAGCCUUGCGACCAUACUCCCCAGGCGGAGCACUUAACACUUUCGCUUCGGUCGGAAACCUAUGGAGGAGCCUCCAACCUAGUGCUCAUCGUUUACAGCUAGGACUACCGGGGUAUCUAAUCCCGUUCGCUACCCUAGCUUUCGUGCCUCAGCGUCAGAAAAGACCCAGUGAGCCGCUUUCGCCACAGGUGUUCCUAAUGAUAUCAACGCAUUUCACCGCUCCACCAUUAGUUCCGCUCACCUCUAUCUUCCUCUAGCUUGGCAGUUUUGAGCGCAGUUCCUCGGUUGAGCCGAGGGAUUUCACACCCAACUUGCCUAUCUUGCCUACGCACCCUUUAAGCCCAGUGAUUCCGAAUAACGUUUGGACGGUUCGUCUUACCGCGGCUGCUGGCACGAACUUAGCCCGUCCUUCCUCUGAAGAUAGGUCAACUAUGGGGGAGAACCCCCAUAGAUUUCCUCCCAACUGACAGCGGUUUACAACCCGAAGGCCUUCAUCCCGCACGCGGCGUCGCUCCGUCAGGCUUUCGCCCAUUGCGGA
This 551-nucleotide ribosomal RNA is filed under the name uncultured Planctomycetota bacterium. Its description in RNAcentral is "uncultured planctomycete partial 16S ribosomal RNA". Lineage: Bacteria; Pseudomonadati; Planctomycetota. The record is from RNAcentral.